Suncus etruscus (white-toothed pygmy shrew) is the source of this 170-nucleotide long non-coding RNA. RefSeq lists it as uncharacterized. Lineage: Eukaryota; Metazoa; Chordata; Mammalia; Eulipotyphla; Soricidae. The transcript has 2 exons. The record is from RefSeq and is a predicted model, not a curated record.
CGGGUACUCCCGGGAGGGCAGGGACUCUGCGAUCGCCCCAUGGGCUUCGGCGAUCUGGCAGGAGGCGACGGUGUCUCCGAUGCACGGUUGGACUCCAAGCGUGGAGACAGACGUAUCCUGAAGCCAUCGCAGGCUGGAUGACGGUGGAAGGCCUGGGACACAUUGAAGAA